RNAcentral lists this ribosomal RNA (131 nucleotides) under uncultured bacterium. Its description in RNAcentral is "partial 23S ribosomal RNA". It matches the Rfam family "Bacterial large subunit ribosomal RNA", at positions 1 to 131 of the family's 2925-position model. The record is from RNAcentral.
AUCAAGCGCCUUAAGGGUGUUCGGUGGAUGCCUUGGCGCUGAGAGGCGAUGAAGGACGUGCUACGCUGCGAUAAGCCGUGGGGAGCUGCGAAGAAGCUUUGAUCCACGGAUUUCCGAAUGGGGAAACCCGG